Molecule: ribosomal RNA, 1971 nt
Filed under: Triticum aestivum (bread wheat)
Lineage: Eukaryota; Viridiplantae; Streptophyta; Magnoliopsida; Poales; Poaceae
Description: partial small subunit ribosomal RNA
Source: RNAcentral
GCCGACGCCGCGCUCUGCGCCUAUUCCCGCCUCCGCCUCCCCCACCUCGCCGCCCAGCUCCUCCACUCCCUCCGCCGCCGCAUCCGCGUCCGCCCCUCCCUCCAGGCCGCCAACGCCGUCCUCUCCGCGCUCGCGCGUAGCCCCUCCACCUCCCCGCAGGCCUCCCUCGACGCCUUCCGCUCUCUCAUCGCGCUCCGCCUCCACCCCAACCACUACACCUUCAACCUCCUCGUGCACACCCACUGCUCCAAGGGCACCCUCGCCGACGCCCUCGCCACGCUCUCCACCAUGCAGGGGUUCGGCCUCUCCCCCGACGCCGUCACCUACAACACGCUCCUCCACGCGCACUGCCGGAAGGGCAUGCUCGGUGAGGCGAGGACGCUGCUGGCGAGAAUGAAGAAAGAGGGGAUCACGCCCACACGGCCGACGUACAAUACCCUUGUGUCGGCUUACGCAAAGCUGGGGUGGAUUAAGCAGGCGACCAAGGUCUUGGAGGCCAUGACAGCCAACGGGCUGGAGCCUGACUUGUGGACGUACAAUGUGCUUAUCGCUGGGCUGUGCCAGGCAGAGAAGGUGGAUGAGGCGUUUAGGCUGAAGGAUGAGAUGGAGCUGCUUGGCACUUUGCUGCCUGAUGUAGUGACCUACAAUACACUCGCUGAUGCGUGCUUUAAGUGGAGGUGUUCGUCUGAUGCACUGAGGCUGCUCGAGGAAAUGCGUGAGAAGGGAGUGAAGCCGACUUUGGUCACACAUAACAUUGUUAUCAAGGGGCUCUGCAAGGAUGGGGAAUUGGAGGAGGCGUUGUUGUGUUUGAAGAAGAUGGCAGAUGAAGGUUUAGCACCAGAUGUGAUCACGUAUAAUACGUUGAUUGAUGUAUACUGCAAGGCUGGCAAUGUCGCCAAAGCAUUUGCACUAAUGGAUGAGAUGGUUGGUAGGGGACUCAAAUUGGACACCUUCACACUUAAUACCGUGCUAUAUAAUCUAUGCAAGGAGAAGCGUUAUGAAGAGGCUCAAGGGCUGCUACAAUCUCCAUCCCAAAGGGGUUUUGUGCCCGAUGAAGUCAGCUAUGGCACAGUGAUGGCAGCCUACUUCAAUGAGUAUAAUCCGGAGCCUGCUCUGCGUCUGUGGGAUGAGAUGAUUCAGAGGAAGUUGACACCAACUAUUUCGACUUACAACACAUUGAUCAAGGGGCUUGGCAGAAUGGGGAGGUUGAAAGAGGCGAUUGAUAAGUUGAAUGAGCUCAUGGAGAAGGGGUUGGUACCAGAUGACACCACGUACAAUAUCGUCAUCCAUGCCUACUGCAAGGAAGGGGACUUGGAGAAUGCCUUCCAGUUCCACAACAAGAUGGUGGAAAAUUCCUUUAAGCCAGAUGUUGUUACUUGCAACACUUUGAUGAAUGGACUGUGUCUGCAGGGGAAGCUUGACAAAGCAAUGAAGCUCUUUGACUCAUGGGUAGAGAAAGGGAAGAAGGUUGAUGUUAUCACAUAUAACACCCUAAUACAUACUAUGUGCAAAAAUGGGGAUGUUGAAGCUGCUUUGCAUUUUCUCGCUGAUAUGGAAGUCAGAGGAUUGCAGCCUGACGCGUUUACUUACAAUGUUGUGUUAUCUGCACUAUCUGAGGCAGGGAGACCAGAAGAAGCACAUAGUAUGCUGCAUAAGUUAUCUGAGAGUGGAAAAUUGUCUCAAAGCUUUUCUUCUCCCCUCUUGAAGCCUUCUUCUGUAGAUGAAACAGAGUCAGGGAAGGAUCACGAGGGUAAUACUGAGGAAGAAACUGGUGGAAAUCCACAAGAUAGUGCUCUGGAGGCCUACACGAAACGCGUAAAUGAGCUAUGCACCGGUGGGCAAUUCAAAGAAGCUAAGGCCAUUUUGGAUGAGAUGAUGCAAAAGGGAAUGUCUGUUGACAGUUCAACGUAUAUAACUUUGAUGGAAGGGCUUAUCAAGAGGCAGAAAAGGCAAACACAUGCAGCUGGGUAG